Molecule: unclassified non-coding RNA, 503 nt
Filed under: Hevea brasiliensis (rubber tree)
Lineage: Eukaryota; Viridiplantae; Streptophyta; Magnoliopsida; Malpighiales; Euphorbiaceae
Source: RNAcentral
UGCAGACAUUAGAGCUUGAAUCUGUAUCGAUAAAUUAUGAAAAUUGAAGUUAAAAAGAUACAUCAGAAACAUAGAGAAUGCUUUCCCCAUCUACAUAUUUGUAAAUAUCAUGCCAUCAACAAGACACUACAGAUAUAGAAGAUGGCAUCUAUGACAAAUACUUGCAAGCUCCAACACAACAGUUGCACCUAGAAGGGAUUAGUUAAACUUAUUCCAAGCAUGAGUCUAGACUCUAGUCUUAUAAAGGGAGAAAUAAAGAACAAAAAAGUACAUCUAAAACUGAUCUGAGAUGCCUCUAGCCUCUUGUCAGGCAAUGGCACAACACAAGCCAGCUAAAUGCCUACUACUAGAUUCUGUUCUUUGUCCAAAUGUUUUUCUACCCAGAGCAAGGCAUUGUUGAUCCAGGGCAGUAUGAAAUGAUUUGUGGAUUUUGUACUGCAGUUAAACACUUUAAUGGUUUUGUGGCAACAUUCCGUAUCUUCCCCAGACAAAAAGUGGCACCG